This 65-nucleotide transfer RNA is filed under the name Dipodomys ordii (Ord's kangaroo rat). It matches the Rfam family "tRNA". From Rfam's summary of the family: Transfer RNA (tRNA) molecules are approximately 80 nucleotides in length. Their secondary structure includes four short double-helical elements and three loops (D, anti-codon, and T loops). The record is from Rfam by way of RNAcentral. Lineage: Eukaryota; Metazoa; Chordata; Mammalia; Rodentia; Heteromyidae.
GGUGGCUCAGUGGUAAAGUACUUGCAUUGCAUGCAUGAGGCCCUGAGUUCGAUUCCUCAGCACCA